This is an RNA transcript of Pseudophryne corroboree (corroboree frog), 905 nucleotides long. It is a transcript of the gene named DNA-directed RNA polymerase I subunit RPA34-like, with no coding region annotated. The transcript is spliced from 3 exons. The record is from RefSeq and is a predicted model, not a curated record. NCBI's taxonomy places the organism in Eukaryota, Metazoa, Chordata, Amphibia, Anura, Myobatrachidae.
UCUAGGUGGCUCUCCUAAAGAGCUGCUUAGAAAAAGUUUUGUUAGGUUUUUUAUUUUCAGUGAGUCCUGCUGGCAACAGGCUCACUGCAUCGAGGGACUUAGGGGAGAGAAGUCAACUCACCUGCGUGCAGGAUGGAUUGGCUUCUUAGGCUACUGGACACCAUUAGCUCCAGAGGGAUCGAACACAGGCCCAGCCAUGGAGUCCGGUCCCGGAGCCGCGCCGCCGACCCCCUUGCAGAUGCCGAAGAUGGAAGAGGUCCAGAAGCAGGCGGCAGAAGACUUUUCAGUCUUCCUGAGGUGAGACGUGCGGCUUUCAGUGCCCCUCGAACUUUGUACCGGUGGCUGAAUGUCGGGGGUCUGUGAAGUCUGAUACGGAUACAGAAGUCUGGCUCAUUAAGGCACCAUCAGACUUUACUCCGGAGAGCUUCAGCUCUCAUCGCCUCCCGCUGUCUGGGUACAAGAUGCAGAAGAUGAAGGUUAACAGCGUCAAGAAAUAUUACCACGUCAUGUCUUCCCAUUGCAGUGAUAGCCCUUUCCGGGCCUUGCUCUGCUCUCCGGAGCCCUCUGCGGGGAGCCUGGUUUGUGCCCCACCGUUCCAGGGUAUCAUCACCCUGGCAGAGGCCCAUGGGGACCACACAGCCCUAAACAGCAUUCCAGACAGGCCCCCCCUACUCAUUCCUCAGGGGCUAAAGCAGAGAUAUCGCCCAUUCGGAGCUACUGCCCCACGAGCCGUCCCGGACAACGUGGGGCAAUCUCAGUGGUCGGGUAGUACCAAGAAGAAGAAGAAAGCUAAAAAACGCAAGCAGGAGGGAUUGCUACUUAUGGACCUGUAGCGUGGGGCUGGGAGAGGGAUGGAAAUGGAAAUAAAGGACAGAAACUUCUUGUGCCGUUACCACACUGCAAUA